Pseudophryne corroboree (corroboree frog) is the source of this 687-nucleotide long non-coding RNA. RefSeq lists it as uncharacterized. The transcript has 2 exons. NCBI's taxonomy places the organism in Eukaryota, Metazoa, Chordata, Amphibia, Anura, Myobatrachidae. The record is from RefSeq and is a predicted model, not a curated record.
GGGCGGCUCCCGAUACGGGGAAUGGGCUGAACGCUGCGUCGAACAGGCCGUCUCUCCUCGGUGAUUUAAGGUCGCUCUGCUGGUUCCAGCUCCUGUCUCCAGCAUCCACAAAGAGACCCGCACCUGCUUUCCAUUCUGCGGUGCAGCCUGACUCUGCAAUCCUCUGUGACUGAUUCAGCUUUCAGCUAUUACUUCGUUUGCUUCCAGCUUCCAAGCUUUCAGCUAUUAACCCAUCUGUUUCCAGCAACCUGCUUCCAACAGAAUUCAGCCUCCUUAAAGAGCCGGUGUUCUCCCAGCGGAUUUCUACUUACCAGCAGUAUCCACUACCACCGGUAACCACUCUUCAUUUCAUCUGUUUCCACGCACCCUAGCAUCUUUCAGUUUUAACUCCGUGUCUCCACCAUCUGGCUGGUUCCGUCCAGUGACUCCUACAGUGCAUUCCAGUUACCAGCAUCAUCUUAUACACCUACUGGCGUGUUCCUCGGUUGUCUUCACUACUACAGCCUGGCCUGGUAAGGUUAUUCUACCCAAGGACUAUAACAUCUGUUCUGCAACCUACCAGUGCCCUGUUAUACCUUUUAUGGUUUAGUGAUCCAGGAACUGUAUUAUCUGCCACUGCUAAUUCUGACUGUGAACGCUGUUGUGAUUAUACGGAGUCUGUUUAAUAAACUUUCAUUUGACUUUUAA